AAUAAUCCAUUUUGCUUCAUGGCGAGAUGUUGAAAGACGGUUUCGGCUGUCACUAUAAGAUGGGCCCGCGGCGCAUUAGCUAGUUGGUAGGGUAAUGGCCUACCAAGGCGACGAUGCGUAGCCGACCUGAGAGGGUGAUCGGCCACACUGGGACUGAGACACGGCCCAGACUCCUACGGGAGGCAGCAGUAGGGAAUCUUCCACAAUGGACGAAAGUCUGAUGGAGCAACGCCGCGUGAGUGAAGAAGGUUUUCGGAUCGUAAAACUCUGUUGUAAGGGAAGAACACGUACGAGAGUAACUGCUCGUACCUUGACGGUACCUUAUUAGAAAGCCACGGCUAACUACGUG
Molecule: ribosomal RNA, 349 nt
Filed under: uncultured bacterium
Lineage: Bacteria
Description: bacterial SSU rRNA
Rfam family: Bacterial small subunit ribosomal RNA
Source: RNAcentral